This 327-nucleotide ribosomal RNA is filed under the name uncultured eukaryote. RNAcentral's name for it is "partial 18S ribosomal RNA". It matches the Rfam family "Eukaryotic small subunit ribosomal RNA", at positions 1470 to 1796 of the family's 1831-position model. The record is from RNAcentral.
CCCUUAGAUGUUCUGGGCCGCACGCGCGCUACACUGACGGAUUCAACGAGCUUACAACCUUGGCCGAAAGGUCUGGGUAAUCUCCAAAAUCCGUCGUGAUGGGGAUAGAUUAUUGCAAUUAUUAAUCUUCAACGAGGAAUGCCUAGUAAGCGCAAGUCAUCAGCUUGCGUUGAUUACGUCCCUGCCCUUUGUACACGCCGCCCGUCGCUCCUACCGAUUGAAUGGUCCGGUGAAGCGUUUGGACUAUGGUUUUCUGAUGGUCCGCCGUUGGAUUACCGUGGGAAGUUCGUUAAACCUUAUCAUUUAGAGGAAGGAGAAGUCGUAACA